Molecule: ribosomal RNA, 253 nt
Filed under: uncultured bacterium
Lineage: Bacteria
Description: partial 16S ribosomal RNA
Rfam family: Bacterial small subunit ribosomal RNA
Source: RNAcentral
GACAGAGGCCCCAAGCGUUAGGCGGAAUCACUGGGCUUAAAGCGUGUGUAGGCGGAUCGUUAAGUGUCUUGUGAAAUCCCACGGCUCACCCGUGGAACUGCUGGGCAUACUGGCGAUCUUGGGCCAACUAGGGGCAGUCGGAACAAGCGGUGGAGCGGUGAAAUGCGUAGAUAUCGCUUGGAACGCCGAAGGUGAAAACAGGCUGCUGGGGUUGCGCCGACGCUGAGACACGAAAGCCAGGGGAGCAAACGGG